Molecule: long non-coding RNA, 1877 nt
Filed under: Sitophilus oryzae (rice weevil)
Lineage: Eukaryota; Metazoa; Arthropoda; Insecta; Coleoptera; Curculionidae
Description: uncharacterized LOC115882747, transcript variant X3
Source: RNAcentral
UGUUAUGUGGCUCUUUCAAUUUUUUUAAUAGAAAAAGUGAUUUUUCUGUGCACUAUUUGAGUUUAUUCUGUUCCUUAGGGCCUGUUUAAUCUCCUGAAAAUAAGUGUUAUAAUACAGACCCAGCACCUAAAGAACACUUAAAGAAAAGACUUUGAGCACCCUUUAUAUAACUCUGAUGUUUGGCAAUUAUUCUGGUUUAUGAGAUUGGUUUUCUGUUAUCCGAUUAAAAAUUUUCUGAAACAAAUCAAUGGAUGUACAUUACAUAUACAUUAGAGUUCCAGGGCAGUACAUUUAUCCUUCUCACGAACAUUACCAACAAUGCAUCAGGACUUACAAGUAUAUUUAAAAUUUCGUUUCUCUUAGGUAAAUGUAUUUUCACUGGUUUUUAAUGUUCAUCAAUGGAUUUCAUGAUUUCUAAAUUUAAUUAAGUAAGAAAAAAAUUGCAAUGAGUCUCUGAGUACAUUUUUAUUUUUUAUGGUUCCUUAUUAUCGUAGACACGUUCUCGAUUUUUGACAUUUUUGGUAGAAUACUAUCUACUUAGGAAACUUUAGUCCAAGUUUUUUUUGGAUUACUUUCAUUUCGCUAUAAUAACUUUACUCCCAUAUUUGCUUGAAAUCAUAAUAUCCCCAUGCAUCAGUUCUAUAAAACAUUCAAUUGACUAUAUUUCUAUAGGAUUUCCAUACCAUCUACUUAGAAUUUUGCUUCAUGUUGUUUAUGGUUAACUUUCAUUUCUCUACAAUAGCUUGAUUCCCAUAUUUUGUCCCUUGUGGGAGAAUAAUAACAUCAUUUAUCGAUUCUAUAAAAUAUUCCACUGUAUUUGUAUGUCUUCCUUUAUGUAUAUUUUAUUAUGGUAUCGUUCUUCUAUAUUACUCUUUGCUUGCGCAAUUUCUUGCACAGAAUUUUAGUUUUGAUGGAUUCUUUUUCAUGUUAUUUUUCUCAGAUCAAAUGCCACAAAUUUCUAUAAUUAUACAGUUUUGUUUGUGUCUAAAAAUAAUUUAAACACACAAUAACACACUUGAACAAAAAUCUCAAAACAAGGACCAAUUCCUGGCGCAUUCGCCAAUUAUUCAAAAAGCUUGACUCGUCCACAUAAGUUCACAGAUAACACAUAAUCCAGAUGGCUCCUUACGUGUUAAAAAUUGUCACCCCAAUUUCACUCCAAUUUGGAAAAAUAUUGGAGUGACGUUUGAAUAAUCUGAAAUUUUUAGAUUCCUUUUCUAACUUUUUUGGGAGGUUUUGCUUCUCUUGCACAGAUGUCGCUUGCACUUCAGUUGCGUGGUUGCCAAACGUUAUAUCGAAAUAUAUUUCAUUUCAUUAUGAAUAUAUAAAAUUAAAAAUUAUGUAAUUUAUAAACAUGAAAUAGAUAUGGAUGUUAGGUAAUACCGGAUGUUAAAUUAAUAUAUAAAUAUUUAACUUAAUACGUACAUUAUUAUUUUAUUAAUUUAUCGUCACACGUCAUUUACCAGUUGCCUAAUUACGAAAAGUUUCAUAUGAUAUUAACCUCAAAAAUGAUUUUUGAAAACAAACAACAACAAAUAACUCAAAGAAAUAACUACAUACUACAUAAUAAUAACUGAUAAUAAUGACUUUUAAUGGUAUAAAGGCUGAUGAAGUUUUAGACAACCAAUACAAGAUUCAGAACUCGGCAUCGUGAUAAACAAGUAAAAUUGUACAUUCAGGAACUCGUUUAAAUAUUAUAGGUUGAUUGAAGAAUAAUCUACAAUUGAUUAGAGCCUAUGACGAUGCGAAGAUAAUUAAUCACCUAACUUUAAGAAACCAGCCUAAAGAAGUUUACAUGCAUCUCAUCUAACCAUUAUAGAUCAGUAGUGAUUUUUCAUAAUUUGAAUGAACUCACAGAUAGCAAUGGGGCACCGCAC